RNAcentral lists this ribosomal RNA (253 nucleotides) under uncultured bacterium. RNAcentral describes it as "partial 16S ribosomal RNA". It matches the Rfam family "Bacterial small subunit ribosomal RNA", at positions 524 to 776 of the family's 1533-position model. The record is from RNAcentral.
GACGAACCGUGCGAACGUUGUUCGGAAUCACUGGGCUUAAAGGGCGCGUAGGCGGGCUGUCAAGUCUGGGGUGAAAUCCCGCGGCUCAACCGUGGAACUGCCUCAGAUACUGACGGCCUCGAGGGAGGUAGGGGCGAGCGGAACUGUGAGUGGAGCGGUGAAAUGCGUUGAUAUUCACAGGAACUCCGGUGGCGAAGGCGGCUCGCUGGACCUUUUCUGACGCUGAGGCGCGAAAGCUAGGGGAGCAAACGGG